CAGCAACGUUCUGCCCUUCAAAACAACAACCAAACAAACAGGCAGCACCAGCAGGUAAAAUCUUCCACUGCAUCUCGUGUACUUCAGACUCAUCUCUUCUGUAAGAUCCAUAGUGUGAAAGCCCUUCCUUGGAUUUAGCCUGCAUGAAGGCAGCACUUAUGAGCUCAAUGAGGCCUCAUCUCUGAAAACAACCAAGAAAUCCAAUUUUUAUUCCCUUCCAAACUUCCCUGCAAGACGCCUGACAGGAGUUGCUCCUGCUCUGAACAAUUCCCUUGCAGAAUGGCUACAUGGAGGAACAGAGGGUUUGAUUCUGCUCCCAGGACACUGAACAGGGGUUUUUAAAUUCUUGAAAAGCAUGAAAUCCACAGCAUUCCUAAAUGCCUUUCUGAUUUUUCUGUAUGAUGCUGCCUUCCUUACAAAGAUCAGCCAAGAUGGAGUUCAGUAGGGACAGGGCCAGAAGAAGAGCUGCAGGGAAGAAUGUUCACACUGGACAGCAUGCUCUCAGUAAACAGGUCUUGCAAAGAGCCCUCCUGCAGUUCUGACAGCAUAUGCCACCCAUGACUCAUGGAUCUAUUACCCACUUCUGGUACCCAAGCCCUGCUUGCCUGGGUGUGUUAUCAAAACACAGCCGAGGGAGAUUUCAGCUGGCAUGGAAAAGCCACGUGAAACAGGUCACCUGCAGAAUUCCCAGAGUGUGCCCCUGCUCAGCACAGGAUGGGGUCUGCAGGAGUUGGCCAUGUGGAAAAAGGUGAUUAUUCUGUGUCCACAAGGAAGGAGAAGCACUGGACAGCUGGAAAGCACUGCAGGCUGAGGGCAGCAGCAAUUCACAGGCUUGGAAAAUUAUGUGGGCUUUACCUUUUACACCCCUGUUAACUCUGAUUUUCAUGAAGUAGGUGGUGUUGCUACAGCAACUGUCGUAUCACAUCAUUUCUGCUGUCUCUGUCACAAGGAUCAUCUUAUUUUAUCUUAAACUCAGAUAUGCAGCUUUUCUUCAUCUAUUCUAAAGCCCUCUGUAUUUCAGAUAUGAAAAAAUUAUACAAAAUAGAGCUGUGUCAUAUAAAUGUGGUUUUUGGGGUUUUUACUGUAGCAAAGCUUAUGGAACAUUUUUAUUGGUUCUCCUUUUACAAAUGCAGAAGGAAUAAAGAAAAUGGCACUGGCAGA
Long non-coding RNA from Passer domesticus (house sparrow), 1161 nucleotides. RefSeq lists it as uncharacterized. NCBI's taxonomy places the organism in Eukaryota, Metazoa, Chordata, Aves, Passeriformes, Passeridae. The transcript is spliced from 3 exons. The record is from RefSeq and is a predicted model, not a curated record.